GCAAGUCGAACGAGAACGGUACUAGCUUGCUAGUAUGUCAGCUAAGUGGCGGACGGGUGAGUAAUGUAUAGUUAAUCUGCCCUUUGGAGAGGGAUAACUACUGGAAACGGUAGCUAAUACCUCAUACUCCUUCUAGUGUAAUGCUAGUUGGGAAAUGUUUUUUCGCCAAAGGAUGAGACUAUAUGGUAUCAGGUAGUUGGUGGGGUAAGAGCCUACCAAGCCAAUGACGCCUAGCUGGUCUGAGAGGAUGAUC
RNAcentral lists this ribosomal RNA (253 nucleotides) under uncultured bacterium. Its description in RNAcentral is "partial 16S ribosomal RNA". It matches the Rfam family "Bacterial small subunit ribosomal RNA", at positions 57 to 305 of the family's 1533-position model. The record is from RNAcentral.